GGCCAGACUCCUACGGGAGGCAGCAGUGGGGAAUAUUGCACAAUGGGGGAAACCCUGAUGCAGCGACGCCGCGUGAGUGAAGAAGUAUUUCGGUAUGUAAAGCUCUAUCAGCAGGGAAGAAAAUGACGGUACCUGACUAAGAAGCCCCGGCUAACUACGUGCCAGCAGCCGCGGUAAUACGUAGGGGGCAAGCGUUAUCCGGAUUUACUGGGUGUAAAGGGAGCGUAGACGGCAUGGCAAGUCAGAUGUGAAAGCCCGGGGCGCAACCCCGGGACUGCAUUUGAAACUGUCAGGCUGGAGUGCAGGAGAGGUAAGUGGAAUUCCUAGUGUAGCGGUGAAAUGCGUAGAUAUUAGGAGGAACACCAGUGGCGAAGGCGUCUUACUGGACCGAAACUGACGUUGAGGCUCGAAAGCGUGGGGAGCAAACAGGAUUAGAUACCCCAGUAAAA
This 449-nucleotide ribosomal RNA is filed under the name uncultured bacterium. RNAcentral's name for it is "bacterial SSU rRNA". It matches the Rfam family "Bacterial small subunit ribosomal RNA", at positions 329 to 793 of the family's 1533-position model. The record is from RNAcentral.